Molecule: ribosomal RNA, 254 nt
Filed under: uncultured bacterium
Lineage: Bacteria
Description: partial 16S ribosomal RNA
Rfam family: Archaeal small subunit ribosomal RNA
Source: RNAcentral
UACUCGCGGUCCAAGUCGCAGCCAUUUUUAUUGGGUCUAAAACCUCCGUAGCUUGCUUCGUAAGUCUCCUGUGAAAUCCGGUUUCUCAAAAAUCGGGCGGGCGGGAGGUACUGCGGAGCUAGAGACUGGUAGACGUAAUGAGUACGUUCGGAGUAUCGGUAAAAUGAGUUAAUCACGGACGGACUAACAACAGCGAAGGCACGUUACGAGAACAGUUCUGACAGUAAGGGAUGAAGGCUAGGGGAGCGAAAGGG